AAUAGCUCAGUUGGUAGAGCGUUUGCCUGUUAAGCAAAAUGUCGUAGGUUCAAGCCCUACUUG
RNAcentral lists this transfer RNA (63 nucleotides) under uncultured Lacrimispora sp. It matches the Rfam family "tRNA", at positions 6 to 65 of the family's 71-position model. From Rfam's summary of the family: Transfer RNA (tRNA) molecules are approximately 80 nucleotides in length. Their secondary structure includes four short double-helical elements and three loops (D, anti-codon, and T loops). Lineage: Bacteria; Bacillati; Bacillota; Clostridia; Lachnospirales; Lachnospiraceae. The record is from RNAcentral.